CCGGACCUUCAUCUUCUUCCUCCAGUUCUUGGACCUUGGAUACAACCUAGUAAGUGCAGCAGAUUUGGGGGCGAAUUUGGGUUUCGAUUUGGGACACUUUGUUCAUGGGUACAUUUUGGCAAGAAAAUGAAAGCUGGAAUUGCUGUUUGACACCCGUUCGAUCUUGGAAAGAAAAAGCACAAAGCCAUGGCUACUUCGUUGGCUGCAACCUUCGCUCGAUCUGCCUCGAUGAUUCCCCGCC
Molecule: long non-coding RNA, 241 nt
Filed under: Olea europaea (common olive)
Lineage: Eukaryota; Viridiplantae; Streptophyta; Magnoliopsida; Lamiales; Oleaceae
Description: long non-coding RNA (OEUR_LNC004469)
Source: RNAcentral